GACGAACGCUGGCGGCGUGCUUAACACAUGCAAGUCGAACGGAAAGGCCCUGCUUUUGUGGGGUGCUCGAGUGGCGAACGGGUGAGUAACACGUGAGUAACCUGCCCUUGACUUUGGGAUAACUUCAGGAAACUGGGGCUAAUACCGGAUAGGAGCUCCUGCUGCAUGGUGGGGGUUGGAAAGUUUCGGCGGGUGGGGAUGGACGCGCGGCUUAUCAGCUUGUUGGUGGGGUAGUGGCUUACCAAGGCUUUGACGGGUAGCCGGCCUGAGAGGGUGACCGGCCACAUUGGGACUGAGAUACGGACCAGACUCCUACGGGAGGCAGCAGUGGGGAAUAUUGCACAAUGGGCGGAAGCCUGAUGCAGCAACGCCGCGUGCGGGAUGACGGCCUUCGGGUUGUAAACCGCUUUCGCCUGUGACGAAGCGUGAGUGACGGUAAUGGGUAAAGAAGCACCGGCUAACUACGUG
RNAcentral lists this ribosomal RNA (468 nucleotides) under uncultured bacterium. Its description in RNAcentral is "partial 16S ribosomal RNA". It matches the Rfam family "Bacterial small subunit ribosomal RNA", at positions 28 to 507 of the family's 1533-position model. The record is from RNAcentral.